GUCCACGCCCUAAACGAUGUUCACUCGACAUUAGCGAUACACUGUUAGUGUCUAAGCGAAAGCAUUAAGUGAACCACCUGGGGAGUACGAUCGCAAGAUUGAAACUCAAAGGAAUUGACGGGGUCGCACAAGCGGUGGAGCAUGUGGUUUAAUUCGAUGAUACGCGAGGAACCUUACCUGGGCUAGAAUGCUUGAUGACAGUCUCGGAAACGAGAUCUUCCCUUCGGGGACAUCUUGCAAGGUGCUGCAUGGUUGUCGU
This 259-nucleotide ribosomal RNA is filed under the name uncultured bacterium. Its description in RNAcentral is "partial 16S ribosomal RNA". It matches the Rfam family "Bacterial small subunit ribosomal RNA", at positions 793 to 1055 of the family's 1533-position model. The record is from RNAcentral.